RNAcentral lists this ribosomal RNA (253 nucleotides) under uncultured bacterium. RNAcentral's name for it is "partial 16S ribosomal RNA". It matches the Rfam family "Bacterial small subunit ribosomal RNA", at positions 524 to 776 of the family's 1533-position model. The record is from RNAcentral.
UACAGAGGGGGCAAGCGUUAAUCGGAAUUACUGGGCGUAAAGCGUGCGUAGGUGGUUUGUUGAGUCAGGUGUGAAAUCCCCGGGCUCAACCUGGGAACUGCGCUUGAUACUGGCAGACUAGAGUGUGGUAGAGGGCAGUGGAAUUCCCGGUGUAGCGGUGAAAUGCGUAGAUAUCGGGAAGAACAUCAGUGGCGAAGGCGGCUACCUGGACCAACACUGACACUGAGGCAAGAAAGCGUGGGGAGCAAACAGG